This 253-nucleotide ribosomal RNA is filed under the name uncultured bacterium. RNAcentral's name for it is "partial 16S ribosomal RNA". It matches the Rfam family "Bacterial small subunit ribosomal RNA", at positions 524 to 776 of the family's 1533-position model. The record is from RNAcentral.
UACGAAGGGGGCUAGCGUUGCUCGGAAUCACUGGGCGUAAAGGGUGCGUAGGCGGCUUUUUAAGUCAGGGGUGAAAUCCUGGAGCUCAACUCCAGAACUGCCUUUGAUACUGAGAAGCUUGAGUCCGGGAGAGGUGAGUGGAACUGCGAGUGUAGAGGUGAAAUUCGUAGAUAUUCGCAAGAACACCAGUGGCGAAGGCGGCUCACUGGCCCGGUACUGACGCUGAGGCGCGAAAGCUAGGGGAGCAAACGGG